Molecule: non-coding RNA, 73 nt
Organism: Ornithorhynchus anatinus (platypus)
Lineage: Eukaryota; Metazoa; Chordata; Mammalia; Monotremata; Ornithorhynchidae
Source: Rfam
AGCAGGGUAGCUUAGUGGCUAGAGCACAGCCUUGGGAGUCAGAAGGACCUGGGUUCUAAUCCCAGCUCCGCCA